ACUCCUGACUGACCGAUAGUGAACCAGUACCGUGAGGGAAAGGCGAAAAGAACCCCGGCGAGGGGAGUGAAAAAGAACCUGAAACCGUGUACGUACAAGCAGUGGGAGCCCUGAUUUAUCAGGGUGACUGCGUACCUUUUGUAUAAUGGGUCAGCGACUUAUAUUCUGUAGCAAGGUUAACCGCAUAGGGGAGCCGCAGGGAAACCGAGUCUUAACGGGGCGUUAAGUUGCA
RNAcentral lists this ribosomal RNA (232 nucleotides) under Xenorhabdus sp. BG5. RNAcentral's name for it is "partial 23S ribosomal RNA". It matches the Rfam family "Bacterial large subunit ribosomal RNA", at positions 472 to 704 of the family's 2925-position model. The record is from RNAcentral. Lineage: Bacteria; Pseudomonadati; Pseudomonadota; Gammaproteobacteria; Enterobacterales; Morganellaceae.